This 440-nucleotide ribosomal RNA is filed under the name uncultured microorganism. RNAcentral describes it as "bacterial SSU rRNA". It matches the Rfam family "Bacterial small subunit ribosomal RNA", at positions 9 to 437 of the family's 1533-position model. The record is from RNAcentral.
GAGUUUGAUCGUGGCUCAGGACGAACGCUGGCGGCAUGCCUAACACAUGCAAGUCGAACGGAGUCUUUGCGGAAGUUUACCUUUGUGAAGACUUAGUGGCGGACGGGUGAGUAACACGUGGGUAAUCUGCCUGAGAGACUGGGACAACAGGGGGAAACCGCUGCUAAUACCAGAUAAGCUCACGGGGGACGGGAGUUCCUGGGAGAAAAGGAGAAAUCCGCUUUCAGAUGAGCCCGCGGCCGUAUUAGCCAGUUGGUGGGGUAACGGCCUACCAAAGCGACGAUCAGUAGCCGGCCUGAGGGGGUGUACAGCCACACUGGAACUGAGACACGGUCCAGACUCCUACGGGAGGCAGCAGUGGGGAAUUUUCCGCAAUGGGCGAAAGCCUGACGGAGCAAUGCCGCGUGAGUGAGGAAGGCCUUCGGUUGUAAAGCUCUGUC